This 190-nucleotide long non-coding RNA is filed under the name Dasypus novemcinctus (nine-banded armadillo). RNAcentral describes it as "lncRNA (ENSDNOG00000051232.1)". Lineage: Eukaryota; Metazoa; Chordata; Mammalia; Cingulata; Dasypodidae. The record is from RNAcentral.
GAAAACUGAGAUAUGAUGAAAAGAUUCCUGGAAUUUUGGCCUAAGGAGACUUUCUUCAUCUUCUCUCGACAUUUACCUACUGGAUGGAACAUACUUGGCCUUUCAGAGAGUCUCCAAAUGUCACCUCCUCUAUGAUGUCUUCUUUCUGCAACCCCAGGCAAAUUUGCUUAGUUGGCUAGGACCUUUAAAU